UACGUAGGGGGCAAGCGUUGUCCGGAUUCAUUGGGCGUAAAGAGCGUGUAGGCGGCCAGGUAGGUCGGUUGUGAAAACUGGAGGCUCAACCUUCAGAGGUCGACCGAAACCAUCUGGCUAGAGUCCGGGAGAGGAGAGUGGAAUUCCUGGUGUAGCGGUGAAAUGCGCAGAUAUCAGGAAGAACACCCGUGGUGUAGACGGCUUUCUGGACCGUAACUGACGCUGAGACACGAAAGCGUGGGUAGCAAACAGG
RNAcentral lists this ribosomal RNA (253 nucleotides) under uncultured bacterium. Its description in RNAcentral is "partial 16S ribosomal RNA". It matches the Rfam family "Bacterial small subunit ribosomal RNA", at positions 524 to 776 of the family's 1533-position model. The record is from RNAcentral.